RNAcentral lists this ribosomal RNA (432 nucleotides) under uncultured bacterium. RNAcentral's name for it is "partial 16S ribosomal RNA". It matches the Rfam family "Bacterial small subunit ribosomal RNA", at positions 29 to 506 of the family's 1533-position model. The record is from RNAcentral.
AACGAACGCUGGCGGCAUGCCUAACACAUGCAAGUCGAACGAGACCUUCGGGUCUAGUGGCGCACGGGUGCGUAACGCGUGGGAACCUGCCCUUAGGUUCGGAAUAACUCCCCGAAAGGGGUGCUAAUACCGGAUAAUGUCUUCGGACCAAAGAUUUAUCGCCUUUGGAUGGGCCCGCGUUGGAUUAGCUAGUUGGUAGGGUAAAAGCCUACCAAGGCGACGAUCCAUAGCUGGUCUGAGAGGAUGAUCAGCCACACUGGGACUGAGACACGGCCCAGACCCCUACGGGGGGAAGGAGGGGGGAAUAUGGGAAAAUGGGCGAAAGCCUGACCCAGCAAUGCCGGGUGAGUGAUGAAGGCCUUAGGGUUGUAAAGCUCUUUUACCCGGGAUGAUAAUGACAGUCCCGGGAAAAUAAGCCCCGGUGAACCCCGU